UCUGGGUUGGAUGAGUGGCGAACGGGUGAGUAACACGUGAGUAACCUGCCCUCUUCUUUGGGAUAACGGUCGGAAACGGCUGCUAAUACCGGGUAUUCACUGUCCUUCGCAUGGGGGGUGGUGGAAAGGUUUUUUCUGGUGGGGGAUGGGCUCGCGGCCUAUCAGCUUGUUGGUGGGGUGAUGGCUUACCAAGGCUUUGACGGGUAACCGGCCUGAGAGGGUGACCGGUCACAUUGGGACUGAGAUACGGCCCAG
RNAcentral lists this ribosomal RNA (255 nucleotides) under uncultured bacterium. RNAcentral describes it as "partial 16S ribosomal RNA". It matches the Rfam family "Bacterial small subunit ribosomal RNA", at positions 80 to 334 of the family's 1533-position model. The record is from RNAcentral.